AAAAAAAUGCAUAGAAACAAUGAGAUUAUUUAGAUCUUAUGGAAAAAACACAUCCUGCCUAUAUUGGACAUAGGAUUUUGUUCUGAUGCAUGCAGCAUCUCUGUAGAGGUUCUCUGCUCCUUUAUGCUCCUUUAUCCUCAGUCCAUGUGUUUUAAGUGGCAUUGAUCCCAUUUCUGGCUACAGGAGUGGGCAAGCGACACAGGCCUGGCAAAUCAGAGGAACCUAACCUCUAGAUUCAUGGAUCUGACAGUCUAGACCAGCCCAACUCACUAUAGAAAGGAGCUCUGUCGAUACCACAGCUGUCCCAGGCAUCCAUAUGGACACCAUGCUUCUGCGGAUCUAAGACUGCCUCCUCUGCAGUGAGCCAAGAUGGCGCCACUGCACUCUAGCCUGGGUGACAGAGCAAGACUCUGCCUCAAAAAAAAAGGAAGAAAAAAAGACUGCCUCCUCCAGACACCUACAAGCAAUCAUGCGGCAAGUUUGAGCAUCUACUUUUCCAUUCCCAUUGUCACCCAGGUAGCAAGGAUGGCACAGUCCCAGAAAUGGGAGAACUUACUGCUUCAGCCUACAUGGAGUCAUCAUCAUGGUCCCUGAGACUUGGUCCUAACAUGGCCGUCUUUUACCUAUGAUCAACAUACCAUGAGGGGGCCGGGCACGGUGGUUCAUACCUAUUAUCCCAGCACUGUGGGAGGAUGGGCUGAGCAGAACACUUGAGCCCAGGACUUCAAGACCAGACCGGACAACAUGACGAAACCCUGUCUCUACAAAAAAAAUCACAAAAAUUAGCCAGGUGUGGUGGUGCACACCUGUGGUUACAGCUACUUGGGAGGCUAAGGUGGGAGGAUUGUUUGAGCACAGGUGGUGGAGGCUACAGUGAG
This 878-nucleotide long non-coding RNA is filed under the name Homo sapiens (human). RNAcentral's name for it is "HSALNT0166771". Lineage: Eukaryota; Metazoa; Chordata; Mammalia; Primates; Hominidae. The record is from RNAcentral.